AGUAAAUAGAUACCCCGGUAGUCCACGCCGUAAACGAUGUCGACUUGGAGGUUGUGCCCUUGAGGCGUGGCUUCCGGAGCUAAACGCGUUAAAGUCGACCGCCUGGGGAGUACGGCCGCAAGGUUAAAACUCAAAUGAAUUGACGGGGCGUCGCACAAGCGGUGGAGCAUGUGGUUUAAUUCGAUGCAACGCGAAGAACCUUACCUACUCUUGACAUCCAGAGAACUUAGCAGAGAUGCUUUGGUUGCCUUCGGGUAACGUCUGAGACAGGUGCUGCAUGGCUGUCGUCAGCUCGUGUUGUGAAAUGUUGGGUUAAGUCCCGCAACGAGCGCAACCCUUAUCCUUUGUUGCCAGCGGUUAGGCCGGGAA
This 369-nucleotide ribosomal RNA is filed under the name uncultured bacterium. Its description in RNAcentral is "bacterial SSU rRNA". It matches the Rfam family "Bacterial small subunit ribosomal RNA", at positions 774 to 1137 of the family's 1533-position model. The record is from RNAcentral.